AAGAGCCAUGGAACGGUGAUGUCCCAUUAGACACCUGGCGCGCUACUUCAUGUUGGGUACCCUCGUUCCAAUACGUUAUAAAAGAUCCGGCUGGCUUACAUCAUGUGCUAACGAGACGGAGAUUUUUGGACAUAAAUGAUGAGCUUUUUUGAACAAAACUACAUUCGUUAUGGACCUGUGAUACCUGGAAGUGACAUCUGAUGAAGAGAAUCAAAGAAUCACGCACAUGAAUUGAUGGAGUCAGCAGGAGCUUCAGCGCCAGCCCUGUCCAUGGAAGAAAGGGUUGCCCGGGAGUCCAGAAGGCAGGCGGAGCACUCCUUUGACAUCUCAGGCCGGUGGUAGCUGGUCCGAUGCAGGACGAUGAGGUGCAGGAGGUCCCUCCGCCCUUCCUGGACAUCGGGGGGGCCCGGCGUACACAGUCCGGUCCAUCUUGGACUCCAGGUGCUGGGUGAGGGGCCUGCAGUACCUCGUGGACUGGGAGGGGUACGGCCCGGAGGAGAGGUGCUGGGUACGUGUGGAGGACAUAUUGGACCCAGCGCUAAUCCGGGAGUUCCACAGCCUCCAUCCGGAUCGCCCUGCGCAUCGCCCUCCGGGGCAUCCUCGAGGCCGGCGUCGGCUCGCUGUGGGAGCCGCGCGUCGGGGGGUACUGUCACGACACCGACGGAAGGUGGCGCCCCUCCUUGCCCGGGCGGCGCUCGGCGGUCGUCGUCGGCGGCCUACUAGCUGCCAUUGAUCCUCUGUUUCACUUUCUGUUGGUUAGGUCUAGGUUAGGCACGCACCUGUUUUGUAUUUGUUGUUAGUGGGGGGGGUAUUUAGUCUAGCUAG
RNAcentral lists this long non-coding RNA (825 nucleotides) under Salmo salar (Atlantic salmon). Its description in RNAcentral is "lncRNA (ENSSSAG00000098631.1)". The record is from RNAcentral. Lineage: Eukaryota; Metazoa; Chordata; Actinopteri; Salmoniformes; Salmonidae.